RNAcentral lists this ribosomal RNA (417 nucleotides) under uncultured bacterium. Its description in RNAcentral is "bacterial SSU rRNA". It matches the Rfam family "Bacterial small subunit ribosomal RNA", at positions 30 to 433 of the family's 1533-position model. The record is from RNAcentral.
AUUGAACGCUGGCGGCGUGCCUAACACAUGCAAGUCGAGCGGUAACAGGUGUAGCAAUACAUGCUGACGAGCGGCGAACGGGUGAGUAAUGCUUCGGAAUCUGCCCAUGUAGUGGGGAAUAACCAGCCGAAAGGUUGGCUAAUACCGCAUACGACCCUUGCCCACAAGGCAAAGGUGAAAGCAGGGGAUCGCAAGACCUUGCGCUAUUGGAUGAGCCGAAGUCGGAUUAGCUAGUUGGUAGGGUAACGGCCUACCAAGGCGACGAUCCGUAGCUGGUCUGAGAGGACGACCAGCCACACUGGGACUGAGACACGCCCAGACUCCUACGGGAGGCAGCAGUGGGGAAUAUUGGACAAUGGGGCAACCCUGAUCCAGCGACGCCGCGUGUGUGAAGAAGGCCUGCGGGUUGUAAAGCAC